GCCCGCUCAGAAACUUAAAGGAAGUUGACGGGGCCCGCACAAGCGGAGGAGCAUGUGGUUAAUUCGAUGAUACGCGAGGAACCUUACCUGGGCUCGAACGUAAGAUGACUGUAGGUGAAAGCUUACAUCUCUUCGGAGCAUUUUACGAGGUGCUGCAUGGUUGUCGUCAGCUCGUGCCGUGAGGUGUCGGGUUAAGUCCCAUAACGAGCGCAACCCCUACCUUUAGUUGCCAUCAGGUUAAGCUGGGGACUCUAAAGGAACUGCCUACGCAAGUAGUGAGGAAGGCGGGGAUGACGUCAAAUCAGCACGGCCCUUACGUCCAGGGCUACACACGUGCUACAAUGGCCGAUACAGAGGGCAGCUACCUGGUGACAGGAUGCAAAUCUCCAAAGUCGGUCUCAGUUCGGAUCGGAGUCUGCAACCCGACUCCGUGAAGUUGGAUUCGCUAGUAAUCGCGCAUCAGCCAUGGCGCGGUGAAUACGUUCCCGGGCCUU
This 494-nucleotide ribosomal RNA is filed under the name uncultured Sphingobacteriales bacterium. RNAcentral describes it as "bacterial SSU rRNA". It matches the Rfam family "Bacterial small subunit ribosomal RNA", at positions 887 to 1382 of the family's 1533-position model. Lineage: Bacteria; Pseudomonadati; Bacteroidota; Sphingobacteriia; Sphingobacteriales. The record is from RNAcentral.